CAGUCGCCGCGGGAAUACGUAGGUGGCAAGCGUUGUCCGGAAUUAUUGGGCGUAAAGGGCUCGCAGGCGGUUUCUUAAGUCUGAUGUGAAAGCCCCCGGCUCAACCGGGGAGGGUCAUUGGAAACUGGGAAACUUGAGUGCAGAAGAGGAGAGUGGAAUUCCACGUGUAGCGGUGAAAUGCGUAGAGAUGUGGAGGAACACCAGUGGCGAAGGCGACUCUCUGGUCUGUAACUGACGCUGAGGAGCGAAAGCGUGGGGAGCGAACAGGAUUAGAUACCCCCGUAGUCCCUGUCUCUUAUCC
Molecule: ribosomal RNA, 301 nt
Filed under: uncultured bacterium
Lineage: Bacteria
Description: partial 16S ribosomal RNA
Rfam family: Bacterial small subunit ribosomal RNA
Source: RNAcentral